GGGAACUCAAAGGAGACUGCCAGUGAUAAACUGGAGGAAGGUGGGGAUGACGUCAAGUCAUCAUGGCCCUUACGACCAGGGCUACACACGUGCUACAAUGGCGCAUACAAAGAGAAGCGACCUCGCGAGAGCAAGCGGACCUCAUAAAGUGCGUCGUAGUCCGGAUUGGAGUCUGCAACUCGACUCCAUGAAGUCGGAAUCGCUAGUAAUCGUGGAUCAGAAUGCCACGGUGAAUACGUUCCCGGGCCUUGUACACACCGCCCGUCACACCAUGGGAGUGGGUUGCAAAAGAAGUAGGUAGCUUAACCUUCGGGAGGGCGCUUACCACUUUGUGAUUCAUGACUGGGGUGAAGUCGUAACAAGGUAACCGUAGGGGAACCUGCGGUUGGAUCACCUCCUUACCUUAAAGAAGC
Molecule: ribosomal RNA, 413 nt
Filed under: Escherichia coli
Lineage: Bacteria; Pseudomonadati; Pseudomonadota; Gammaproteobacteria; Enterobacterales; Enterobacteriaceae
Also listed under: 6 other names
Description: bacterial SSU rRNA
Rfam family: Bacterial small subunit ribosomal RNA
Source: RNAcentral